RNAcentral lists this ribosomal RNA (253 nucleotides) under uncultured bacterium. RNAcentral's name for it is "partial 16S ribosomal RNA". It matches the Rfam family "Archaeal small subunit ribosomal RNA", at positions 474 to 727 of the family's 1478-position model. The record is from RNAcentral.
UACCAGCAACCCGAGUGGUCGGGACGUUUAUUGGGCCUAAAGCGUCCGUAGCCGGUUCUACAAGUCUUCCGUUAAAUCCAACUGCUUAACAGGUGGGCUGCGGAAGAUACUAUAGAGCUAGGAGGCGGGAGAGGCAAGCGGUACUCGAUGGGUAGGGGUAAAAUCCGUUGAUCCAUUGAAGACCACCAGUGGCGAAGGCGGCUUGCCAGAACGCGCUCGACGGUGAGGGAUGAAAGCUGGGGGAGCAAACCGG